GUCUCGGUGGCGCAAUUGGUAAGCUUACCCUUCAACGUGAGGUUGAGAGUUCGAUCCUCUCCCGGGACG
Aspergillus awamori is the source of this 69-nucleotide non-coding RNA. The record is from the annotation of a GenBank genome assembly. NCBI's taxonomy places the organism in Eukaryota, Fungi, Ascomycota, Eurotiomycetes, Eurotiales, Aspergillaceae.